GCAGUCGAACGCGAAAGCCCCUUCGGGGGUAAGUAGAGUGGCGUCCGGGUGAGUAACACGUGGGUAAUCUGCCUCCGGGUGGGGAAUAACCAGUCGAAAGAUUGGCUAAUACCGCAUAAUGCAGCGGCACCUAAUGGUGAAUAGUUGUUAAAGAGGGGGACCCUUCGGGGCCUCGCGCCUGGAGAGGAGCCUGCGGCGGAUUAGCUAGUUGGUGAGGUAAUGGCUCACCAAGGCUUCGAUCUGUAGCUGGUCUGAGAGGACGGCCAGCCACACUGGCACUGACACACGGGCCAGACUCCUACGGGAGGCAGCAGUGGGGAAUUUUGGGCAAUGGGCGAAAGCCUGACCCAGCAACGCCGCGUGAGGGAGGAAAUCCUUCGGGAUGUAAACUUCGCAAGAAUGGGAAGAAUGAACGAGCGCUAAUACCGUUCGUGAUGACGGUACCAUUUGUAAGCUCCGGCUAACUCCGUGCCAGCAGCCGCGGUAAUACGGGGGGAGCAAGCGUUGUUCGGAUUUACUGGGCGUAAAGGGCGCGUAGGCGGCCACUGCAAGUCAGUUGUGAAAUCUCCGGGCUUAACUCGGAAAGGUCAACUGAUACUGCAGGGCUAGAGUGCGGAAGGGGCAACUGGAAUUCUCGGUGUAGCGGUGAAAUGCGUAGAUAUCGAGAGGAACACCUGCGGCGAAGGCGGGUUGCUGGGCCGACACUGACGCUGAGGCGCGAAAGCCAUGGGAGCGAACGGGAUUAGAUACCCCGGUAGUCCUGGCCUUAAACGAUGGAUGCUUGGUGUCUGGGGUUUUAUAGUCCCCGGG
This 810-nucleotide ribosomal RNA is filed under the name uncultured microorganism. RNAcentral describes it as "bacterial SSU rRNA". It matches the Rfam family "Bacterial small subunit ribosomal RNA", at positions 57 to 843 of the family's 1533-position model. The record is from RNAcentral.